RNAcentral lists this ribosomal RNA (497 nucleotides) under uncultured bacterium. Its description in RNAcentral is "partial 16S ribosomal RNA". It matches the Rfam family "Bacterial small subunit ribosomal RNA", at positions 28 to 507 of the family's 1533-position model. The record is from RNAcentral.
GAUGAACGCUGGCGGCGUGCCUAAUACAUGCAAGUCGAGCGAACGGACGAGAAGCUUGCUUCUCUGAUGUUAGCGGCGGACGGGUGAGUAACACGUGGAUAACCUACCUAUAAGACUGGGAUAACUUCGGGAAACCGGAGCUAAUACCGGAUGAUAUUUUGAACCGCAUGGUUCAAAAGUGAAAGACGGUCUUGCUGUCACUUAUAGAUGGAUCCGCGCUUCAUUAGCUAGUUGGUAAGGUAACGGCUUACCAAGGCAACGAUGCAUAGCCGACCUGAGAGGGUGAUCGGCCACACUGGAACUGAGACACGGUCCAGACUCCUACGGGAGGCAGCAGUAGGGAAUCUUCCGCCAUGGGCGAAAGCCUGACGGAGCAACGCCGCGUGAGUGAUGAAGGUCUUCGGAUCGUAAAACUCUGUUAUUAGGAAAGAACAUAUGUGUAAGUAACUGUGCACAUCUUGACGGUACCUAAUCAGAAAGCCACGGCUAACUACGUG